AGAGUUUGAUCCUGGCUCAGAAUCAACGCUGGCGGCGCGCCUAACACAUGCAAGUCGAACGAGAAAGUCCGCAAGGAUGAGUAAAGUGGCGUACGGGUGAGUAACACGUGGAUAACCUGCCCUUUAGUGGGGAAUACCGCUGGGAAACCGGCGACAAUACCGCAUAAGCUCGAGAGAGGAAAGCAGCAAUGCGCUGAAGGAGGGGUCCGCGGCCGAUUAGCUAGUUGGCAGGGUAAAAGCCUACCAAGGCUGUGAUCGGUAGCCGGCCUGAGAGGGCACACGGCCACACUGGCACUGAAACACGGGCCAGACUCCUACGGGAGGCAGCAGUGGGGAAUCUUGCACAAUGGGGGAAACCCUGAUGCAGCGACGCCGCGUGAGCGAUGAAGCCCUUCGGGGUGUAAAGCUCUUUCGGCAGGGACGAUUAUGACGGUACCUGCAGAAGCAGCUGCGGCUAACUACGUGCCAGCAGCCGCGGUAAUACGUAGGCAGCAAGCGUUGUUCGGAGUUACUGGGCGUAAAGGGUGCGUAGGCGGCUUCUUAAGUCCGGUGUGAAAUCUCCCGGCUCAACUGGGAGGGUGCGCUGGAUACUGAGGGGCUAGAGUGUGGGAGAGGAAAGUGGAAUUCCUGGUGUAGCGGUGAAAUGCGUAGAUAUCAGGAGGAACACCGGUGGUGUAAACGGCUUUCUGGACCAUAACUGACGCUGAGGCACGAAAGCGUGGGUAGCAAACAGGAUUAGAUACCCUGGUAGUCCACGCCCUAAACGAUGCAUAUUUGGGUGUGGGCCAUUCAUUUGGUCCGUGCCGGAGCUAACGCGUUAAAUAUGCCGCCUGGGGAGUACAGUCGCAAGGCUGAAACUCAAAGGAAUUGACGG
This 874-nucleotide ribosomal RNA is filed under the name uncultured bacterium. RNAcentral describes it as "bacterial SSU rRNA". It matches the Rfam family "Bacterial small subunit ribosomal RNA", at positions 8 to 916 of the family's 1533-position model. The record is from RNAcentral.